AGCUCCAAUAGCGUAUAUUAAAGUUGUUGCAGUUAAAAAGUUCGUAGUUGGAUUUCUGGUGGGAGGGAUCGGUCCCGCAUUCUAUGUGGUAACUAUAUCCUCUCCGGCCAUCCUUGGGUGGAUCCUGUCUGGCAUUAAGUUGUCAGUCAGGGGAUGCCCAUCGUUUACUGUGAAAAAAUUAGAGUGUUCAAAGCAGGCUUAUGCCAUUGAAUAUAUUAGCAUGGAAUAAUAAGAUAGGGCCAUGGUACUAUUUUGUUGGUUUGCGUACCGAGGUAAUGAUUAAUAGGGACAGUUGGGGGUAUUUGUAUUCAGUAUUCAGUGGUGAUAUACUUAGACCAACGGAAGACAAACUACUGUGAAAGCAUUUACCAAGGAUGUUUUUCA
RNAcentral lists this ribosomal RNA (384 nucleotides) under uncultured eukaryote. Its description in RNAcentral is "SSU rRNA". It matches the Rfam family "Eukaryotic small subunit ribosomal RNA", at positions 587 to 973 of the family's 1831-position model. The record is from RNAcentral.